GAUGAAGAACGCAGCGAAAUGCGAUAAGUAAUGUGAAUUGCAGAAUUCAGUGAAUCAUCGAAUCUUUGAACGCAUCUUGCGCUCCUUGGUAUUCUGAGGAGCAUGCCUGUUUGAGUGUCAUUAAAUUCUCAACUACACUGACUUUGAAUUGGUGUGGCUUGGAUUUGGGGGGAAAAUUGUUGUGGGCUUUUUGUAUAGUCUGCUCCCCUGAAAUUGAUUAGCGGUACCUUUGUGGAACUGUCUACAGGUGUGAUAAUUAUCUACAUCUUAGACAUCUGCUGGAAUGCUGCUUUCUAAACCUUACUUGUAUUGACAAUCUAGACCUCAAAUCAGGUAGGACUACCCGCUGAACUUAAGCAUAUCAAUAAGCGGAGGA
This 376-nucleotide unclassified non-coding RNA is filed under the name soil metagenome. RNAcentral's name for it is "partial contains 5.8S ribosomal RNA, internal transcribed spacer 2, and large subunit ribosomal RNA". The stretch from base 1 to 120 matches the Rfam family "5.8S ribosomal RNA", at positions 35 to 154 of the family's 154-position model. The record is from RNAcentral.